RNAcentral lists this ribosomal RNA (460 nucleotides) under uncultured bacterium. RNAcentral describes it as "partial 16S ribosomal RNA". It matches the Rfam family "Bacterial small subunit ribosomal RNA", at positions 338 to 795 of the family's 1533-position model. The record is from RNAcentral.
CCUACGGGAGGCAGCAGUGAGGAAUAUUGGUCAAUGGACGCGAGCCUGAACCAGCCAAGCAGCGUGAAGGAAGACGGCUCUAUGAGUUGUAAACUGCUUUUAUACGAGGGUAAACGCAGAUACGCGUAUCUUUCUGAAAGUAUCUUACGAAUAAGGAUCGGCUAACUCCGUGCCAGCAGCCGCGGUAAUACGGAGGAUUCAAGCGUUAUCCGGAUUUAUUGGGUUUAAAGGGUGCGUAGGUGGUGGGUUAAGUUAGAGGUGAAAUCCCGCGGCUCAACCUUAGACUUGCUUCUGAUACUGGUCGUCUAGAGAGUAGUUGAGGUAGGCGGAAUGUGUGGGGUAGCGGUGAAAUGCUUAGAGAUCAUGCAGAACACCGAUUGCGAAGGCAGCUUACCAAGCUACUUCUGACGUUGAGGCACGAAAGCGUGGGGAGCAAACAGGAUUAGAUACCCCUGUAGUC